RNAcentral lists this ribosomal RNA (492 nucleotides) under uncultured bacterium. RNAcentral describes it as "partial 16S ribosomal RNA". It matches the Rfam family "Bacterial small subunit ribosomal RNA", at positions 29 to 507 of the family's 1533-position model. The record is from RNAcentral.
AGUGAACGCUGGCGGUAGGCCUAACACAUGCAAGUCGAACGGCAGCACAGUAAGAGCUUGCUCUUACGGGUGGCGAGUGGCGGACGGGUGAGGAAUACAUCGGAAUCUACUUUUGCGUGGGGGAUAACGUAGGGAAACUUACGCUAAUACCGCAUACGACCUACGGGUGAAAGCAGGGGAUCUUCGGACCUUGCGCGAUUGAAUGAGCCGAUGUCGGAUUAGCUAGUUGGCGGGGUAAAGGCCCACCAAGGCGACGAUCCGUAGCUGGUCUGAGAGGAUGAUCAGCCACACUGGAACUGAGACACGGUCCAGACUCCUACGGGAGGCAGCAGUGGGGAAUAUUGGACAAUGGGCGCAAGCCUGAUCCAGCCAUACCGCGUGGGUGAAGAAGGCCUUCGGGUUGUAAAGCCCUUUUGUUGGGAAAGAAAAGCAGCAGGUUAAUACCCCGCUGUUCUGACGGUACCCAAAGAAUAAGCACCGGCUAACUUCGUG